Cicer arietinum (chickpea) is the source of this 311-nucleotide long non-coding RNA. RefSeq lists it as uncharacterized. The record is from RefSeq and is a predicted model, not a curated record. NCBI's taxonomy places the organism in Eukaryota, Viridiplantae, Streptophyta, Magnoliopsida, Fabales, Fabaceae.
AUUGUUGUUAUGGAACAAGUUCUCAAUAUUAUUUACCCAAAAAAGGAGGAGAUGUGCUUAAGCACAAUCACUCAAGUUGUUUCCAAACAAUGACUUUUAAUCUCGAAGCAAUCCACUUCAAGUUAUUAAUGAAGAAAGAAUACACAUAUAUUAUUCACAUGGCUAAGAUAACCAAAAGCUUUUUAGAAAUGGAGAGCAACACGUGUACAAAUGAAGAACAAUGAAACUAUGGAAGACCCAUGUAAAAAGAAGUUUUUAAAUGAUUAAGAUUGUAAUUUUCAUACAUCUACUUGGAUUUGAGUUGUAUCUUG